UAAAGAAUUUCGGUAUGGGAUGGGGAUGCGUUCCAUUAGUUAGUUGGCGGGGUAACGGCCCACCAAGACAACGAUGGAUAGGGGUUCUGAGAGGAAGGUCCCCCACAUUGGAACUGAGACACGGUCCAAACUCCUACGGGAGGCAACAGUGAGGAAUAUUGGUCAAUGGACGAGAGUCUGAACCAGCCAAGUAGCGUGAAGGAUGACUGCCCUACGGGUUGUAAACUUCUUUUAUAUGGGAAUAAAAUGUUCCACGUGUGGGAUUUUGUAUGUACCAUAUGAAUAAGGAUCGGCUAACUCCGUGCCAGCAGCCGCGGUAAUACGGAGGAUCCGAGCGUUAUCCGGAUUUAUUGGGUUUAAAGGGAGCGUAGGUGGAUUGUUAAGUCAGUUGUGAAAGUUUGCGGCUCAACCGUAAAAUUGCAGUUGAAACUGGCAGUCUUGAGUACAGUAGAGGUGGGCGGAAUUCGUGGUGUAGCGGUGAAAUGCUUAGAUAUCACGAAGAACUCCGAUUGCGAAGGCAGCUCACUGGACUGCAACUGACACUGAGGCUCGAAAGUGUGGGUAUCAAACAGGAUUAGAUACCCUGGUAGUCCACACAGUAAACGAUGAAUACUCGCUGUUUGCGAUAUAUGCAA
This 635-nucleotide ribosomal RNA is filed under the name uncultured bacterium. RNAcentral's name for it is "bacterial SSU rRNA". It matches the Rfam family "Bacterial small subunit ribosomal RNA", at positions 202 to 842 of the family's 1533-position model. The record is from RNAcentral.